CAUUCCUACGGGAGGCAGCAGUGGGGAAUAUUGCACAAUGGGGGAAACCCUGAUGCAGCGACGCCGCGUGAGUGAAGAAGUAUUUCGGUAUGUAAAGCUCUGUCAGCAGGGAAGAAAAUGACGGUACCUGACCAAGAAGCCCCGGCUAACUACGUGCCAGCAGCCGCGGUAAUACGUAGGGGGCAAGCGUUAUCCGGAUUUACUGGGUGUAAAGGGAGCGUAGACGGCAGGGCAGGUCUGGAGUG
RNAcentral lists this ribosomal RNA (245 nucleotides) under uncultured bacterium. RNAcentral describes it as "partial 16S ribosomal RNA". It matches the Rfam family "Bacterial small subunit ribosomal RNA", at positions 334 to 596 of the family's 1533-position model. The record is from RNAcentral.